Molecule: unclassified non-coding RNA, 339 nt
Filed under: soil metagenome
Description: partial contains 5.8S ribosomal RNA, internal transcribed spacer 2, and large subunit ribosomal RNA
Rfam family: 5.8S ribosomal RNA (bases 1-120)
Source: RNAcentral
GAUGAAGAACGCAUCGAAAUGCGAUAAGUAGUGUGAAUUGCAGAAUUCAGUGAAUCAUCGAAUCUUUGAACGCACAUUGCGCCCUUUGGUAUUCCUUAGGGCAUGCCUGUUCGAGCGUCAUUUAAACCUUCAAGCUCAGCUUGGUGUUGGGUGACUGUCCGCCGCCUCCGGGCGCGUGGACUCGCCUCAAAAUUAUUGGCGGCCGGUACAUUGGCUUCGAGCGCAGCAGAAACGCGAACUCGGGCCCGUCGUAUUGGCUCCCAGAAGCUAUCUUCACAAUUUUGACCUCGGAUCAGGUAGGGAUACCCGCUGAACUUAAGCAUAUCAAUAAGCGGAGGA